Molecule: long non-coding RNA, 236 nt
Filed under: Phoenix dactylifera (date palm)
Lineage: Eukaryota; Viridiplantae; Streptophyta; Magnoliopsida; Arecales; Arecaceae
Description: long non-coding RNA (PDAC_LNC014196)
Source: RNAcentral
GAGGAUGAUAGUGUUAUUUUGAUGAUUAACAAGCAAUUAUCUAGAGUAUGCUAUAAGUUAAAUUGAUACUUCAUUUAUAAGUUCAUUACUCUCAGUAUAUUUGGUUAAUUGAAAAUAGAUACAUGACCUUGUUCAUUUGAAUGAAUCUAACCUUGAGAAUGCAGCAAAGUGUGGAUUGAGUCGACCCAAAGGUUGAUUGGGUCAACCCCGGCACAUCAAGAAAUCAUUUGGCACAC